GGCCCCCACCACUUCCCAAUAAUCUACCAUCUGAUACGAAAACUAAUCCUCUCAUCAAUUAUUUAGUAUUAUCGAUCCCCUCUAAAAAUCCAUUGUGUCUAAUUGACCCCUUGAAUACAAAAUAUAGGUUUCGCAAUUAUGGGGGAUCCACAUAUAUCCUCUGCCUAAAUAUCCACAUUUUGAAUUACUAACGAGCAUUUAAACGCGAAGCCGACCAGUACAGGUCCAUCGCUAAACGCCACCCUUAUGAAUGGGCUUUAUUUCCUGGCCCACGCAAAGAUGGCCGAUCAGACGAAAGAGAAGAUGCAAGAUUGCGUCGCCGAAUUCAUUAGAUUCAUGCGAGAUGCUUGCCGCUCUGAUGGACGGUCGUCACCAUCGCCACCACCAGCAUCGUCGUCGAACCAUUUAUUAGGCAAGAGAAACACAGAAAAUAAGUGCAAAUUGACUAGAUUAAAUCGGCCAUAUAUACUUGUUUGCAUUCUUUUGUUCUUUGCAAGUGAUUGAGUGUAAUAAAAAUGUGAGGUUCUCGUGGUUUUUACAGUUUUUAUUGGAUUAUGAAAAAAGACCAAUAAUUUCAUUACCGAUACAAAAAAAUGCUAGAAUGUAUUUUUAUAUACAUAUUAUUGUAUAAUAGAUUGUAAACACUGGUGAUGGAUUGCAAAUUUGUAAUAAGAUUUUUAUGGAAAUAGAGAAUUUAAUAUGAUUUGAU
RNAcentral lists this long non-coding RNA (709 nucleotides) under Erythranthe guttata (spotted monkey flower). RNAcentral's name for it is "long non-coding RNA (EGUT_LNC000685)". The record is from RNAcentral. Lineage: Eukaryota; Viridiplantae; Streptophyta; Magnoliopsida; Lamiales; Phrymaceae.